ACAUUUCACUUCAAAGAUCAUCCAAAACAUCUCAGAUGCCUUACAGAUCCCCUGGAAACUCCAUACUCCAUGGCGACCACAAGCUAGUGGUGUAGUAGAACGUACAAAUCAGACCCUCAAGCAUCAUCUAUCAAAGAUCUGCCAAAAGGCCUCUCUGCGAUGGCCCGAUGCUUUGCCCCUUGCUCUGCUUCGCAUCCGUGCCCUCCCCAAAGAAAGAUUAAAGCUUAGCCCCUUUGAGAUUAUGUUUGGAAGGACAUGGCCUAUGAAAAGGACCUCACACUGUCCUACUAGUUUCCCACACAGCGGCAAAGGUCGACGGACACAAGAACUGGAUUCAUCACGAGACAGAUUUGGCAUAAUCCUUCUCCCGUUGUAUAGAGUGGGCCGGUUAGCCAAGCUAUAUCGUCAACUUUCUGUGUUUCUUACAAAAUUUGCUAAUGACACCUUAACUAUUAAAAAGAGCCUUAAUUCUAAGAUUUACCAACUUCGGUUGUUAUCCCUUCAGAAUAGACAAGCGCUAGACUAUGUCUUAGCUUCUCAAGGUGGAGUAUGUGCUCUAAUUAAGAAAUAAUGUUGUACUUAUAUUCCAGAAAAUUCACAAGAUAUUAACAAACACAUGUUGUCAGCCAAACAGGCUUUUGAGCAGUGGAAAAGUCAGGAACAUAAACCCACUGUUUUCGAUUCUCUCUCAAGCUGGUUGCCCAAACUCGGAGGCCUAGGAAUGGGCAUCCUUCACCUCCUGGUCACCAGUGUUGUGUUGUGUUUAAUUACCCUCCUCUUAUUUGCAUGCUGUAAUGCCCUCCUGCGCAAAGUCUGUGUAUCCCCCUCCCCGAGCGCUUCACUAUACCCCUGCAUUGAAGAUCCCAGUUCCCAACCACUUAAUCGUCUUUUAUCUUCAGAAUAUGAAAAAACUCAGCCAAAACUUUGUUGAGUAUUCUCAAAGGGGGGAGUUGUUGGUGUCACUGGGCAUAACCUUAGGUAACUCAGAGGGAUGAAAGACCAUGAGUGUCGAUAAAGCCCCUCUGCUCUAGGCCCAGGCGAGCCAGGCCCCCCCUUCCUGAACCUUUGUAACCCUUUCUUUGAACUUUUUGUAACCUCCUGUAAUACUAGAAAGACAGGAUGAGUAGCAGGCAAGCUGAAACUCCCUAAAACUGUUAUCUGUAGAAUGCAAGGGUACCGCUCAGAGAGAGAAGGGAGGAGGAAAGGGGGUGGGGGGGGUGGAAGCCAACUAGUGAAAAACUACUGCAGAAAGUGACCAGGGUAUAAAUAUACACUGUUGCAGGGCUAGGGGAGCAGGAUUUGAGACAAUACAGUCUCCCUGCGCCUUUUACUUGAGCUCAAAUAAACUCUGUCUACUUUUCCCCCCA
This 1367-nucleotide long non-coding RNA is filed under the name Crocodylus porosus (Australian saltwater crocodile). Its description in RNAcentral is "lncRNA (ENSCPRG00005008932.1)". The record is from RNAcentral. Lineage: Eukaryota; Metazoa; Chordata; Crocodylia; Crocodylidae.